This 446-nucleotide ribosomal RNA is filed under the name uncultured bacterium. RNAcentral describes it as "partial 16S ribosomal RNA". It matches the Rfam family "Bacterial small subunit ribosomal RNA", at positions 338 to 795 of the family's 1533-position model. The record is from RNAcentral.
CCUACGGGUGGCAGCAGUCGAGAAUCAUUCACAAUGGGGGAAACCCUGAUGGUGCGACGCCGCGUGGGGGAAUGAAGGUCUUCGGAUUGUAAACCCCUGUCAUGUGGGAGCAAAUUAAAAAGAUAGUACCACAAGAGGAAGAGACGGCUAACUCUGUGCCAGCAGCCGCGGUAAUACAGAGGUCUCAAGCGUUGUUCGGAAUCACUGGGCGUAAAGCGUGCGUAGGCUGUUUCGUAAGUCGUGUGUGAAAGGCGCGGGCUCAACCCGCGGACGGCACAUGAUACUGCGAGACUAGAGUAAGGGAGGGGGAACCGGAAUUCGCGGGGUAGCAGUGAAAUGCGUAGAUAUCGAGAGGAACACUCGUGGCGAAGGCGGGCUCCUGGACAUUAACUGACGCUGAGGCACGAAGGCCAGGGGAGCGAAAGGGAUUAGAUACCCUUGUAGUC